UCAUCACCUAAAGAACCCAAUCCCUCAAAUGUAACCAUCCAACAGGUUAUGGGCCCAGAAUUUAUAAGGUAAUAUUUAUUAUAAUUUGCUAAUUAAAAAAAGCCAACAACAUCACCAUGGAAACGAAACUGUUUGUAAAUUUUUUUCUUAGCAACCAAUAUGUAAUGAAUUUAAUGAAAAUAAAACCAUUCAAAAAUAUUUAAAAUGUUAUAAAAGGCUGAAAGACCAAACAGAAAAUUAUUAUAAGAGCAUGAGAUAAGGUAAUAGAAGGAAGAACACUAACAUAAGUAACAAAUAAAGAUAAUCGUAAAGACGAAGUCGACGAAGUUCGAGAAGGUGAAAUAGGAAGAAAUGGAGAGUUAGUGGAGUUCGAGAAGGUGAUAUUUGAGGAAAUAAUACUAAUGGAGUAUAAUGAAGUUCGAGAAGGUGAAAUAGGAAGAAAUGGAGAGUUAGUGGAGUUCGAGAAGGUGAUAUUUGAGGAAAUAAUACUAAUGGAGUAUAAUGUAGUUUGAGAAGGUGAUAUAGGAAGAAACGGAGAGUUAGUGGAGUUCGAGAAGGAUAUAUUAGAAGAAAUAAUAGUAAUGGAGUGUAAUGAAGUGGAAAUGGCGUAAAGUUCGAGAAGAUGUUGUUAAAAGGCGAAAUAAUAGAGAAUGAAAUGAAAAUGGAACAAAUGAUAGCAGAUUAACAAAUGAAAAUCUGGUCAUGGAAAACUUUGAGACUUUAAGUGUAUUCAUUUUUAAAAAAGUGAACUUGUGUUUCGGGAGAAAUUGGUUAGUUUAUAAGAUUGAUAGGGAAAUUUAAAUGCUAUAUACAACAAGAGAUAUAAUUAAAAAGAGACAAGGAUAAUUCAUAAAGUAAGGGGGUGUUUUCAAUGAAUUCAAAAUUAAGAGGGUGCUCUUUUUCAACAGAGAUAAACAAUUAAGGGGGUGAUCAUAAAAUUUUUUUUUUUUUUUUAUUAAUUAUACUAUAAAUACAAUAGAUAGUCUAGCCGUGGAGGAAGUACACAUUAUUUGAUACAAACAUAUUUACAGUCGUUUUUUAAAAUCCUUUUGAAUCUCUUUUAUAGUUUUGUUUUAUUGUUGUUUUAUAAUAGAUGUUAGGAAUUUUGGUUUGUGUUAUAUUAAAAUAAUUGAACGGAUAUGUGAAAAAAGUGGGAAAAUUUAGGAAGUGAAAAAA
Long non-coding RNA from Bombyx mandarina (wild silkworm), 1176 nucleotides. The record is from RefSeq and is a predicted model, not a curated record. Lineage: Eukaryota; Metazoa; Arthropoda; Insecta; Lepidoptera; Bombycidae.